AAGGACGUCAGAACAACUAAGACCA
This 25-nucleotide non-coding RNA is filed under the name Cricetulus griseus (Chinese hamster). Lineage: Eukaryota; Metazoa; Chordata; Mammalia; Rodentia; Cricetidae. The record is from RNAcentral.